UAGAGAAUCCUAGAAACGUUUGCCAAGG
This 28-nucleotide non-coding RNA is filed under the name Rattus norvegicus (Norway rat). The record is from RNAcentral. Lineage: Eukaryota; Metazoa; Chordata; Mammalia; Rodentia; Muridae.